ACGUCCCAAUAAUAAUAUGUAAUUUGGAAUCUUUAGAAAAACAAUUUUAAUUUUAAUUUUUUAAAUAGCCAGUACAUAAGGCGACCGCCUUGUACACCAAGGCGCUAUAAGGCGUCGCCUUCGACGCCUUACAGCGCUUUAGUGUAAAAGGCGAUCGCCUUUCGCGCUACUCUUGAGUCGGCUGAUUGCCUUACCUCUACUGGACCGCACCAGCGCCUUAAAAACUAUGGUGAUGACACCUCGAGAACCGUUUCCACAUCCAAUCGGGUUGGUUCUCAUGGGGCCCACCGGCCCCGCAUUACAAUGACAUGGCAGUGAUAGUGACAUGGCAAUGAUGGCAGUUGUUAGAUUGACUUGACAGAUAUUCUGGGUGAGUUGGUAGAGUUUAUGAUGUAGAAGCAGUGAUUGAACAAUGCACGUUUAGUCAGACAGCUACUGGGCAUGGUAUGCAGUGACAUGGAAGUCAAGGUCAGCAUUGCAGUGAUUCUGAGUCUUAUGAGGCUACUGGCAAGGAUAGGUAAGUUCUAGUAAUGCCUAGGAAGUGUUGGAUAAGUUAGAAAGUUAGAAAGAGUUGUGCAAAUAGGUCAACUUCAGAGAAAAUUUGGGUAGACCAAAUGGCUUGGUUGGAUGAUGAUAUGUACUGAAAAGAUGUAGAGCAUCGAGUCAUCUUUACAACGCAUUUGGAAAUUAUGUCAAUCUGAUUCUGGAUGAGAGAGAUAUAGCUGAUUAAUUACAGUUAGUAUUUGAGGUUCAACUGUUCGAUAAAAUGUUCCAAAGAAGUGCAUUACACAUUCAUAGGUAUUGUGAUACAUGUGAGAUGAUAUGUGGGACCCUUAGAUCCACAACCCCAAGGGUGGACUCUAUGUAUUAGGUGAGAUGUUGGAAGUGAAGGGGCUUGAACACAGUGGCAUUUCGGUCAUUUUGUAUUUUGGCAGGGAUAUUGAGGUAUCCAAACCUAUGUGACACCUUAAGACAUCUCUUAUGAUGUUAAUAUGAUGUCUUAGUAAUGGUGCAAGCAGUGGGUGAAGGCUCUGUAUUGUUAAAAUGAAUAUUUCAUAGGUUCAUGCAUUGACAUCAUGUUUGGGGGUAUUAUUGUAAAUUCAAUUGGCAUAUUUAGAAGGAGACAUGCACAUGAAAGUUGUAGAUCUUUGAGUCAUGCGGCUAAUGCAAUUGGAAUCAUAUCGAUCCGAUAUCGUAGUAAAAAUUUAUAGCAUAAUUUUCAGUCAGUGCACAAGCUGAAAAGUCAGUGACCUACACAUCAUUCGGGUUCAAGCCCGUUUUUGGGAUCUGCGCACUGCACCUGGGUUGAUGGUGUCUUCGUAAAAACUUAGCCUUUCGAGUCUUUUGUACGUAGGAAAAAUGAUGUGGAUCCGGGUUCUAAAAGACUGAAAUCGGAUCACUUAUGGGCCCACGAAAAACAAAAUUUUCAAUCUAGGCAAACCAGGGGCCAUAUUGUAAAUUCUGGUACAAUUUAAGAGCUUUUUAGAUUGAAAUAACUAAGGACUUAAUAGGAAUUAAACCCAAAGAAAAGAGCAGUUCUGAAAAUAAAAAAAUAGUAGUGGGGUUAAAUUGAAAUAAAAUCCAAAAUGAAGGUUAUUUAUGAGAACAUCAGAGAAUAGGAUCUAAUUGUAAAUAAGGAGAAAUACCAUCAGCGACCUUAUGUAACCUUAAGGACACAGAUACGAUAGAACCAGCAGAAGCCGUGUUGGUUUCGAACAGCAAAACUCACUCAGUUGGAAUCCAUGCGAAACGAAACUUUGGAACAGAGAUCGGAAGUCAGUUGGCUAUUGAUUCCAACCAAUAUCAGAUCGGAAGAAGCUGUGACAACCUCGGGAAGAAAUUCGCAACCUGAAUCAGGCGGAGAACCAGAUCUGAUUUCUGGUUUUCAGAUUUGUCUUCUACUAACUUGCAGGAGCUUGGGAUAAACUGCAGGGACUUGUUUGUCUCUGAGAACCCUACCCUCGACCCAAAACCUCAGGGCCACUCGAUGGGAGACCAGUUUUCAGAGACAAGUCUUCGGUUCUGGUAGGUAUUGCCUAGAACAGGGGAAAAAAGAAAAAAAACAGAAAAACAAUGAAGAUAUGAAGAAGAAGAUGAAGAAGUAAUAAUAGAAAGGAAGGUUAAAGAAGAAAAGAGACUAUUAGAAAGGUUAAAACAAAGCACCCACGGCAGCCAUUGUUCAUGGUUCUCACCCAAAAAUCAUCAAGUUCUAAUUCUCCAAAAUUCUGAAUUCUUCAUUGGGUUUACGUCAAUAUAAAGGCAAGCAACAAUGUAAAAAUAGAAACUACUUGAAAGGAAACUACUCUAAAAUUAGAAGCAAACUAAUCCCAAAAGAAAUUGUUUCUAAAACAAAAGGAAAUCAAAUCAAAGAUAUUUUUUUUUUCCUAAAUCUGUCGCCCAAUUGCAUAAAAAAGAAUCGGGCCAAUCGGAGUUCGGAUGAUGAAGAUAUGGCCAUUGUAUGAUUGCGCCGAAAUAGAGCCGACCUGACGCAAACUGGCCGACCACAUACUUCAGCCGGUUGAGGAACCGGUCGACCAGUUGACCAAUUGGAUAAAGCCGGUAAGCUCAUAAUUUUGGUCUAAGCGGAACUGGUUGACCGCUUCAUUAAACCGAUAGAUUGCAUGCGCCAUUUGAGUUACUUGUGAUAGGUCUGGUUUAUCUAAAUUUAGGUCAAAUUUUGGGCAUCUUCUGAGUAGAAUUAGAGGAAUGCUAUUUCUGAAAAAAGUUGUAGAUAUUUGAAUCUAUUUCAGAAGAAACAAGAAUAAUCCCGAUUGGAGUUAUAUAGAAGUUAUGCUCCCCAUAAUGAAGAAAGGUUAGUCUGCCAUACUGGUUUUGGGUUUAGUUUGGCCGGUUAGACCAAGCUCGGGGUUUGGGUCAAUUGUUGGAGUAUUUAAGUGAAAUUUAGGGCUUUUUGUCUCUAACUCUUCCAAGAUAAUAAGAGGAACAAACCCUAGGAGAGAAGGAGAGGAGAAGAGAGAAGAUGGAAGAGAAGAACCAAGUGUGUAUGUGUGCUUUCAUGCCCAAAUCUUGAGAAAUGCCCUUGCUUGAAGAUUUUAGUGUACUGAAUGCUUCAGUAUUGUCACUAGCAAGCUUGAGAAUCUGUUAAAGUUUACAUUGAAGGUUGAAGAUGGUUGUUGGAGUUCAUUAAAGACAAAAAAAGCUCAUUGUGUGUAUCUGGGGCCACCAUCUUCUACACUUGAAGGAUCAAAAUUCUCCAUCAAAAGGGGAAAGUUGAAGAUUCUAGUGUAUUUGGGAAUCUCUGAGAAGCUCUCACCACUUGCUAGUUAAGGGAGAUAAACUCUGUAUACAAGUCCUAAUUUUAUAUGACCUAGGUUGUGAACCACGUAUAUCUUGUGCAGUGUGUAUGUGCUUGUAUAUUGGAGUGCAUGGAUUGUGAAUGCUUGCAGAGUGAGUGUGGCUUUUGGUAGAUCUAGGCAUUGAGUGGUUGCAUGGUUGUGUGUAUUUAACUCUUCUAACAGUGAAUAUGUCGACACAAGUUCAAGUGAACAACAUGAAGUGCCAUCAGAGAGAAUUGUCAGGGUCAUUUCAGAAAGAUUUCUUAGACACUGUUCACCCCCUUCUUAGUGUCAACCUGGGAUUCACAUUGGGAAUUAAGCUAUUACUAGUACAUAGUAUUACUAAAUGUUUAGCUCCCUACAAUUCAGAUGGUAAGUUUGACUUUUGCUCCAUUUUAAGGUUAUAUUUAUGAUCACUAGGUCCAUGAAACUCAUGACUAUCUAGUUGAUUGAUUGCUUUUCAUUAGCCUACAUUGAGAAACGGUUUGAAUUCUUAAAGCUUGUGUAGGUAGUUCAGAUGAUAUGUGAUACUCGCAGUUGGUGCUGAUUGGGUAGCUAGGCCGUAUGAGCAUUGUGGAACAAAAACAUUAGGCUGUACAGUUAAUCAGAACAAAAGAAUAUCAGAAUAUGUGACUUAUGUUUUAAUCAGAAUUGGGCAAAAGAAAAUCAAAAUAUGAUGUGACUUAACGUUUUAGUAUAGAUGGAUAAGUGAAGUUGCUCAAUGCUUACCUUGUUAAUCGAGAUUGCUUUGAUUGUCAAAAAUUUGGUUACAGUUUGAAGCAUUUCCACUCUUCUAGCACCCUAUAGUUUUCAAUAUGAACCCCUAAUAUUCUAUAUUCUGUUGUACCAAAAUUAUUCUUUGAGUGAAAAGCUAAAAUAAUUUGGUUGAGAGUCUGCAUUUUGUCCCAACAAAAGGGAGCAAAUUUUCAUCAAUGCUUUACUGCAUAGACUUGGAACACCAAGCUUAUAUCCAGAUCUACUUUUUCUUCUCUCUCUACAUUGGAUAUACUCUUAGACUUCUCCUUUCCUCCUUUCUCAAAGACUCAAACCUUUCUUAUUUGCUUGCUGGUCCACUCCAUGUUAGCCACUGCUGCAUUGAGACUAACAAUAAAUGUAGCGUGUACUAUUUACGCAUGCAGUCUUCUCUUUCUAUGGUUUGUUUAUUGCAUGUUUUCUUCCUGUCAUGCCAUUAUGAACUAAAAAUCCAGUACAAUAGAAAUAGAAACACAUUAGUUUGAACUUUUCAAACCCAUACUCAAUGACAAUACUGUUCAAAUCAUCCUUGAGUAGCUGAAGGCUUUUUGUUACUGGUCUCAGCCCUCGAGAACAUUGACUGUAUGGAAUCAAUCUAAUCUACACUUAUACUAGGACAAUAGUAGUAGAUGGCUAAGCUUGAAAGAAAAGUUUUAGUCAGAAUCAUCCUACGUGCAAGAGAAAGGAAGUUAACUUUCCAAGUGUUGAAUCUAUUGGUCAAUCUUUCGUAGUUGAUGGUUGGAAGAAAUUGUGUUGGUAAAUGCUUUUAGUGGUUUUUUAUUUUAUUUUAUGGUGACCCUACUGUUGAAGCUUGUUUGUUUCGUAGUAUGUAGACCUAUUAAGAAAGCACAGCCUGGGCUUGGCCAAGUAAGGCAGCUACUUUGCUGAAGUCUGAUUAAGCAUGACUUGACUUCAGCAAAUCCCAAACCAUAGCCUUGACUGCAUUUUGUCCUCAACUGGUAUAUGGCACACCUUGAGGUUUAUGGUGCUUCACCUGAAAUUGAAAUUUCGGACUCUUUAUCUUGUUGUAAAUUGGGUAUAAGGUAGAAUUGUAUUAUAGGGGUAUUUUUGUCUUAUACUCAAUUCUGGAAUGUACCACGCCAUAUUAUAAAUAAAGGAGGCUUGUGUCCAAAGUUAUCAAGGUGGCAAGGCAACCAAGGCAUUGAGGUUCUGCCUGACUACCUUGGUAGGUAUCGCCUUUGUGAACAAAACGUUCUAUUGUUCUUUUUUUAUAUAACCAUUAUAUUUGGGACAAAUAGCAUAUUAAAAAUUAUAUAAUUCUAGUUAUAUGCUAAAAUAAAUAUUAAAGAAUCAUACCGAUGCAAGAUAUUCAUCAUAAUAACAAAUCAACAAAGUGAGUAUACUAUGUAUGGGGGGUUGCUAAUACUAUAAAUCAAAGGACGGCUUAGCACUCUUUUGAUAUUGUAGACAAUGUAUCCUAUAAUCUUUAAUCCAAGUUUUUUUUUUCUAGAAAAAAAAAAAAAAAGAAAAAAAGUGAGUAUAAUAAAAAAAUCGUUCCACCACCUCAAGUCAUAAAAAAUCAAUUUUAAGUCACAUCAAGUCAUAAAAAAUCAAUAUUAAGUCACAUUAAGUCAUAAAAAAUCAAUAUUUAAAAGAAUGGUUCUUGUUUUCUAAUAAGUUUGAUUGGUCAAAUGAUCUUACUUUUACAUGAGACUUUUCAUAUUUAGAUAACACAAAACCAAUUUUCCAACAAGUUUAAGAUUAUUUAAAUAUGAAUUGUAAUGAUAAAGUUAUGCUUUGGUCGAACUUAUUUUCUUGAACUUUUGGAUGUUAGUAAUGUUUCACCAUGAUAAGAUUUAUGAAAAUUUUAAAAUUGAGAAAAACCAUAGCAUUUGAAAGUUGAAAAUUGUUCCUACAACAAAAAAUCCAGUUUUUGUUCUUACAUUUUAUUUAUUUAUUUAAUCAGAAACCAAGAAUUUAUUAAGCAAAACCAGAGAAGGAAAAUUUCUUUCCCAAAGAGUUACAAUGAGUAAUACGCUAGGGGUGCAUGAGACCACCAACAACGAGCCAAAUCAAAUCUAAUAGCUCACUGAGGUAAUGACUGGGCCUUGCUAUUAGAAGCACGAGGUAAAAUUUUAAACUAAACAACGCUAAAGGAAACUAACAACUCAGUAAUGUCCUUCACAAUCAAGGAGGCAGCCCAAUCUAAAGAAGAUGGAAAGCCCUUACAAGCAAGAAUUACAUCAAUCAAUUACUGAAAAUGACAAGAGAAGAGAGGCCUAAAAAUCUAGCCAACAAUAAGCCGUCCCCCAUUGCUUCUACUUUAGUUAUGGCAGUAGAGAAACAAACACGAACUCCACACUAAGCAGCCACAAAACUCCCCGCAACAUACUUUAAAAUCACCCCAAGUCCACUUUUCCCAAAGGAAGCUCGCCAAGCACCAUCCGUAGAUAAGGUAAAAUGAUUCUAGACUGAGGGGGUUGACUUUUUAUCCUUUUGGAAUUUGAUUUUUGACCUAUUUUUAUUUGAUUCAAAUAGAGAGUAUUUUCUUAUUUAUGAAUAAUAUCUUAAGUAAAUGAAAAUAUUUACUUAAAUAAUAUUUGGCAUAAAUAAGUGCCAAAACAGAAGGUGACAAUCGUAUAAGCUGAGGCAAACCACCUGGACGCCUUGGUGGUGCCUUGAUAACUAUGUCUGUGUCCUAUUUGGCACAAGUCAUUAUUCUAUUCAACAUGGUAUCAGAUGCUUAGAUCCAAACCCUAAGGGCUCCAUCUCUCUUUCUCACCUCUCUUUCUCGGUUUUUGUGCUCAACACAUCCCAUCUACACCCCGCUCCAUCGUCUCUCUCUCUCUCUCUCUCUCUACUUCUCUAGAUGGUAGUCUCUGAAACCACCAAGAGAGGCCUCUAGUCCCUUCCAUUAUUCUUUUUGGGCACUUAGAUCUCUCUUCUCUAAUGAUCUGAGUGACCUAGUUCAUCCCUUCAUCACUUUUUAGGGUUUUUAAAUUUCGAUACUAUGGUUGUUCUACCCUGUAUGAUGCAUUGAUCGGCUUGAAGAUGACUCAGUAUGGUGCUACUUAUCCUUGAUAUGGUAUGUAUUAGCCAUGUUAUCAUCUCUAAACUCUAUUCCAGAGCUAUACUCAAAAUCGACUUUGUUAAGGUUUUUAUCCCUUUGUCAAUUUUUGAGCUUUUCAUUGCUUUCUGGUGCUUCUGCUACCUGUGGUGGGUGUACAAGUGUGUUCUAGCCAUUCUUCAUCACUAUAACCUCUUUGAGUGGUAACCAUGUCAGAGAUUUUGACUGGGAACUACAGGUGGUGGUGAUGGAAAUUCUUCUGACACUUUUUCAACUUUCCCUACCUAUGCUAUUAAGCUCGAUGACACUAGCUAUCUAAUGCGGUCACAUUCUUGCAGCAUCUCUAUUAUAUCCCCUCGUCUCAAUGGGUAUCUCACAGGGAUUGCUAUGAAGCCUACUGGUAUAGGUUUGAAUGUUGACAAAUGGAGUGUGAGAAUUCCUUGGUUAUGGCUUUUCUUAUCAAUUCGAUACAACUAUAGAUUCUUGUCACUAUCUCCUUCUCGACUCCUAGGUUGGGAAUGAUGCAUUGGUCGUUGAACUUCAUAAGAAGGUACAUGAACCCAAACAUAGAGAAAUAACUAUGUCACAAUACUACUCUGAGCUUCGAUAUCUGUGCGAAAGUUGGAUUUCUAUGAGUUUCAACCUACCUUUCCUGCUGAUGUUGUUAAGUUUCGGAAGAGGGAAGACAAUAUUUAGGUUUAUGACUUCCUAGCAGGACUCAAUGUCGCAUAUGAUCAGAUCCGUGCCCAUGUUUUGAGUCGUGAUCUCUUUUUCACCAUUGAGUAGUCUUAUGAUGGUUCGGCUUGAAAAUUGCCAUCACAUUACUAUGCUUUCGAAGCCAAGCCCUACUCCAGAAAGAUCAGCCAUUGUCUCUGGCACCCAAACCCAAAGUGACACCCCACAGUCUAGUGGCUCCUCUACCAAAGCUCCUAUGAAGUGACUAUUGCGGUAAGGAAUGCCACACUAAAUAACACUAUUGGAAACUCCAUGGUUGCCCUGUUGAUGCUUUUGGUAAGGGUCGUAGCAACUCAUACUCCAAUCAGAUCAACCACAAUGACGCAUUUGCUGCACCACAUGCUUCCCUCUCCUCUGAGGAGCUACUUCAUUCCAGCGUCUUUUGACCAUAAUGGAGUCUCCUUAACCUACAUUUGCUACUACUGCUUCCACUGUGGCUUUUGCCCCUUCCAGUUCAAGCAUUAUUUUUUGCAGUCAUAGUGCCUUAGACUCAUCCUCCCAAUGGAUCAUUGACUCUUGGGCGUCAGAUCUUAUGAAAGGUUCUCUCCCACUUUUCUCCUAGUAUGUAUACUCCUGCUCUAGUAAAGGUAGAGUUCGUUUAGCAAAUGGAACCCAUUCCCCUAUCUCUGUAGAGGGUUAUGUUUGUUGCUCUCCUACUGUAUCACUUUCCUCAGUUUUAUAUGUUCUUGCUUUUUCCACUAAAUUGCUAUCCAUUAGUAGCAUUACUUCCAAUCUCAAUUGCGAAAUCACUUUUUUCUCUGAUUAUUGUGUUUGCAGGAUCUGGUGACAAGGGCAAUGAUUGGCUCUGAUAUAGUGCAUGGUGUUCUAUAUCUGCUGGAUGAUGGAUCUUCUUUGGUCUCUGGUCAUGCUCUUCAAACUUCCUCCUCAUCUCCUUCUUAGUUACUACAAUGGCACUGACCUUUGGGACAUCUCCCUUUAGGAAGCUAGGAUUUUCCCAUUUAAAAAAAAUUGUAAUUCGAGUGAUUUCUUUUGUGAGGCAUGUGUUUUGGAAAGCAUGUCACACCCCACUCAUGUGAGGAUACCAACUAUGUGAAUAAGAAGCUUACCCAUCUUAUAUC
Molecule: long non-coding RNA, 8891 nt
Organism: Macadamia integrifolia
Lineage: Eukaryota; Viridiplantae; Streptophyta; Magnoliopsida; Proteales; Proteaceae
Exons: 2
Source: RefSeq, a predicted model, not a curated record